GAUGAACGCUGGCGGCGUGCCUAAUACAUGCAAGUCGAGCGAACAGACGAGGAGCUUGCUCCUCUGACGUUAGCGGCGGACGGGUGAGUAACACGUGGAUAACCUACCUAUAAGACUGGGAUAACUUCGGGAAACCGGAGCUAAUACCGGAUAACAUGUUGAACCGCAUGGUUCAACAGUGAAAGACGGUCUUGCUGUCACUUAUAGAUGGAUCCGCGCCGCAUUAGCUAGUUGGUAAGGUAACGGCUUACCAAGGCAACGAUGCGUAGCCGACCUGAGAGGGUGAUCGUCCACACUGGAACGGAGACACGGUCCAGACUCCUACGGGAGGCAGCAGUAGGGAAUCUUCCGCAAUGGGCGGAAGCCUAACGGAGCAACGCCGCGUGAGUGAAGAAGGUCUUCGGAUCGUAAAACUCUGUUAUUAGGGAAGAACAAAUGUGUAAGUAACUAUGCACGUCUUGACGGUACCUAAUCAGAAAGCCACGGCUAACUACGUG
This 497-nucleotide ribosomal RNA is filed under the name uncultured bacterium. RNAcentral's name for it is "partial 16S ribosomal RNA". It matches the Rfam family "Bacterial small subunit ribosomal RNA", at positions 28 to 507 of the family's 1533-position model. The record is from RNAcentral.